Eriocheir sinensis (Chinese mitten crab) is the source of this 570-nucleotide long non-coding RNA. RefSeq lists it as uncharacterized. The record is from RefSeq and is a predicted model, not a curated record. The transcript is spliced from 3 exons. NCBI's taxonomy places the organism in Eukaryota, Metazoa, Arthropoda, Malacostraca, Decapoda, Varunidae.
UCAGGUUCAUGGUACAGAGGAAGGGUCAAACUACCACCAGGGUCAUAAAACUACCCCUGGAAAUGCUCACAUCUCCUAGGAAAGCCUUGUCAAAUAGGUGUUUCUUCAGGUUCAUGGUACAGAGGAAGGGUCAAACUACCACCAGGGUCAUAAAACUACCCCUGGAAAUGCUCACAACUCCUAGGAAAGCCUUGUCAAAUAGGUGUUUCUUCAGGUUCAUGGUACAGAGGAAGGGUCAAACUACCACCAGGGUCAUAAAACUACCCCUGGAAAUGCCCACAACUCCUAGGAAAGCCUUGUCAAAUAGGUGUUUCUUCAGGUUCAUGGUACAGAGGAAGGGUCAAACUACCACCAGGGUCAUAAAACUACCCCUGGAAAUGCCCACAACUCCUAGGAAAGCCUUGUCAAAUAGGUGUUUCUUCAGGUUCACGGUACAGAGGAAGGGGCAAACUACCACCAGGGUCAUAAAACUACUCCUGGAAAUGCCCACAACUCCAAGGAAAGCCUUGUCAAAUAGGUGUUUCUUCAGGUUCAUGGUACAGAGGAAGGGUCAAACUACCACCAGGGUCA